This 68-nucleotide transfer RNA is filed under the name Atrina pectinata. Its description in RNAcentral is "tRNA-His". Lineage: Eukaryota; Metazoa; Mollusca; Bivalvia; Pterioida; Pinnidae. The record is from RNAcentral.
AACUGGGUAGAAUAUUUUAAAGUUUGCUGGGUUGUGGUCUCAGAGGUGGAAUUUACUUCCUUCAGUUU